This 292-nucleotide ribosomal RNA is filed under the name uncultured bacterium. RNAcentral's name for it is "partial 16S rRNA". It matches the Rfam family "Bacterial small subunit ribosomal RNA", at positions 212 to 502 of the family's 1533-position model. The record is from RNAcentral.
CCGGUGGUCUAAGAUGGGCAUGCGUGACAUUAGAUAGUUGGUGAGGUAACGGCUCACCAAGUCAACGAUGUCUAGGGGUCCUGAGAGGGUGAUCCCCCACACUGGUACUGAGACACGGACCAGACUCCUACGGGAGGCAGCAGUGAGGAAUAUUGGUCAAUGGGUGCAAACCUGAACCAGCCAUCCCGCGUGCAGGAAGACGGCCUUAUGGGUUGUAAACUGCUUUUAUAUACCAAGAAACCUAUCUACGAGUAGAUAGCUGACGGUAGUAUAUGAAUAAGCACCGCUAACU